This 186-nucleotide ribosomal RNA is filed under the name uncultured bacterium. RNAcentral describes it as "partial small subunit ribosomal RNA". It matches the Rfam family "Bacterial small subunit ribosomal RNA", at positions 26 to 219 of the family's 1533-position model. The record is from RNAcentral.
AGCCUGAACGCUGGCGGCGUGGCUAAGACAUGCAAGUCGAACGGGUGUAGCAAUACACCAGUGGCGGACGGGUGAGUAAUGUAUCGCUAACGUGCCCUAGAGCCAGGGAUAGCUGUCCGAAAGGGCAGGUAAUACCUGAUGAAAUAACCGUGUCGCAUGACGUGGUUCUCAAAGCAGCAAUGCACU